Molecule: ribosomal RNA, 511 nt
Filed under: uncultured Pseudomonas sp.
Lineage: Bacteria; Pseudomonadati; Pseudomonadota; Gammaproteobacteria; Pseudomonadales; Pseudomonadaceae
Description: bacterial SSU rRNA
Rfam family: Bacterial small subunit ribosomal RNA
Source: RNAcentral
CUAUGCGCCUUGCCAGCCCGCCUCAGAAACUUAAAUGAAUUGACGGGGGCCCGCACAAGCGGAGGAGCAUGUGGUUUAAUUCGAUGAUACGCGAGGAACCUUACCUGGGCUCGAACGUAAGAUGACUGUAGGUGAAAGCUUACAUCUCUUCGGAGCAUUUUACGAGGUGCUGCAUGGUUGUCGUCAGCUCGUGCCGUGAGGUGUCGGGUUAAGUCCCGUAACGAGCGCAACCCUUGUCCUUAGUUACCAGCACGUUAUGGUGGGCACUCUAAGGAGACUGCCGGUGACAAACCGGAGGAAGGUGGGGAUGACGUCAAGUCAUCAUGGCCCUUACGGCCUGGGCUACACACGUGCUACAAUGGUCGGUACAAAGGGUUGCCAAGCCGCGAGGUGGAGCUAAUCCCAUAAAACCGAUCGUAGUCCGGAUCGCAGUCUGCAACUCGACUGCGUGAAGUCGGAAUCGCUAGUAAUCGUGAAUCAGAAUGUCACGGUGAAUACGUUCCCGGGCCUU